This 73-nucleotide transfer RNA is filed under the name Chelonia mydas (Green sea turtle). It matches the Rfam family "tRNA". From Rfam's summary of the family: Transfer RNA (tRNA) molecules are approximately 80 nucleotides in length. The record is from Rfam by way of RNAcentral. Lineage: Eukaryota; Metazoa; Chordata; Testudines; Cheloniidae.
UUUCAACUAGCUCAGUUGGUAGAGCAUCAGGCUCUUAAUCUGAGGGUCCAGGAUUCAAGCCCCUGGAUGGGCA